GUGAAUCAUCAAAUCUUUGAACGCAAAUUGCACUCCCUGGUAUUCCGGGGAGUAUGCCUGUUUGAGGGUCGUUAGAAGAAAAAUCGAAGCAUCGCUCUUUUUUUAAGGGUGAUCGCGUCGGAAUUGAGCCGUCUUUCAGCUGUUACGUCAUGUCAAAGUUGCUUAAAAUUCAUCCAUCCGUUACGACUAAAGCGUAUUUAGGAACAACUUUGAUGAAGAAAGCGCGAGGACGUACGAUCUCGUGUAGUACAUUUGAC
RNAcentral lists this unclassified non-coding RNA (257 nucleotides) under Glomeraceae sp. RNAcentral describes it as "partial contains 5.8S ribosomal RNA and internal transcribed spacer 2". The stretch from base 1 to 71 matches the Rfam family "5.8S ribosomal RNA", at positions 84 to 154 of the family's 154-position model. The record is from RNAcentral. Lineage: Eukaryota; Fungi; Glomeromycota; Glomeromycetes; Glomerales; Glomeraceae.